GCCCAGCUUGCUGGGUGGAUUAGUGGCGAACGGGUGAGUAACACGUGAGCAACCUGCCCCUGACUCUGGGAUAAGCGCUGGAAACGGCGUCUAAUACUGGAUAUGUCCCGUCACCGCAUGGUGUGCGGGUGGAAAGAUUUUUCGGUUGGGGAUGGGCUCGCGGCCUAUCAGCUUGUUGGUGAGGUAAUGGCUCACCAAGGCGUCGACGGGUAGCCGGCCUGAGAGGGUGACCGGCCACACUGGGACUGAGACACGGCCCAGACUCCUACGGGAGGCAGCAGUGGGGAAUAUUGCACAAUGGGCGGAAGCCUGAUGCAGCAACGCCGCGUGAGGGAUGACGGCCUUCGGGUUGUAAACCUCUUUUAGCAGGGAAGAAGCGAAAGUGACGGUACCUGCAGAAAAAGCACCGGCUAACUACGUGCCAGCAGCCGCGGUAAUACGUAGGGUGCAAGCGUUAUCCGGAAUUAUUGGGCGUAAAGAGCUCGUAGGCGGUCUGUCGCGUCUGCUGUGAAAUCCCGAGGCUCAACCUCGGGCUUGCAGUGGGUACGGGCAGACUAGAGUGCGGUAGGGGAGAUUGGAAUUCCUGGUGUAGCGGUGGAAUGCGCAGAUAUCAGGAGGAACACCGAUGGCGAAGGCAGAUCUCUGGGCCGUAACUGACGCUGAGGAGCGAAAGGGUGGGGAGCAAACAGGCUUAGAUACCCUGGUAGUCCACCCCGUAAACGUUGGGAACUAGUUGUGGGGUCCUUUCCACGGAUUCCGUGACGCAGCUAACGCAUUAAGUUCCCCGCCUGGGGGAGUACGGCCGCAAGGCUAAAACUCAAAGGAAUUGACGGGGACCCGCACAAGCGGCGGAGCAUGCGGAUUAAUUCGAUGCAACGCGAAGAACCUUACCAAGGCUUGACAUACACGAGAACGGGCCAGAAAUGGUCAACUCUUUGGACACUCGUGAACAGGUGGGUGCAUGGUUGUCGUCAGCUCGUGUCGUGAGAUGUUUGGGUUAAGUCCCGCAACGAGCGCAACCCUCGUUCUAUGUUGCCAGCACGUAAUGGUGGGAACUCAUGGGAUACUGCCGGGGUCAACUCGGAGGAAAGGGUGGGGAUGACGUCAAAUCAUCAUGCCCCU
RNAcentral lists this ribosomal RNA (1122 nucleotides) under marine bacterium AK6_007. Its description in RNAcentral is "bacterial SSU rRNA". It matches the Rfam family "Bacterial small subunit ribosomal RNA", at positions 73 to 1202 of the family's 1533-position model. The record is from RNAcentral.